GAUGAACGCUGGCGGCGUGCCUAAUACAUGCGAGUCGAGCGAACAGACGAGGAGCUUGCUUCUCUGACGUUAGCGGCGGACGGGUGAGUAACACGUGGAUAACCUACCUAUAAGACUGGGAUAACUUCGGGAAACCGGAGCUAAUACCGGAUAAUAUAUUGAACCGCAUGGUUCAAUAGUGAAAGACGGUUUUGCUGUCACCUAUAGAUGGAUCCGCGCCGCAUUAGCUAGUUGGUAAGGUAACGGCUUACCAAGGCAACGAUGCGUAGCCGACCUGAGAGGGUGAUCGGCCACACUGGAACUGAGACACGGUCCAGACUCCUACGGGAGGCAGCAGUAGGGAAUCUUCCGCAAUGGGCGAAAGCCUGACGGAGCAACGCCGCGUGAGUGAUGAAGGUCUUCGGAUCGUAAAACUCUGUUAUUAGGGAAGAACAAAUGUGUAAGUAACUAUGCACGUCUUGACGGUACCUAAUCAGAAAGCCACGGCUAACUACGUG
This 497-nucleotide ribosomal RNA is filed under the name uncultured bacterium. Its description in RNAcentral is "partial 16S ribosomal RNA". It matches the Rfam family "Bacterial small subunit ribosomal RNA", at positions 28 to 507 of the family's 1533-position model. The record is from RNAcentral.